GUAUAAGAGACAGCAGCAGCCACGGUAAUACGGAGGAUCCAAGCGUUAUCCGGAAUCAUUGGGUUUAAAGGGUCCGUAGGCGGUCUUGUAAGUCAGUGGUGAAAGCCCAUCGCUCAACGGUGGAACGGCCAUUGAUACUGCAGGACUUGAAUUAUUGGGAAGUAACUAGAAUAUGUAGUGUAGCGGUGAAAUGCUUAGAGAUUACAUGGAAUACCAAUUGCGAAGGCAGGUUACUACCAAUUGAUUGACGCUGAUGGACGAAAGCGUGGGUAGCGAACAGGAUUAGAUACCCGCGUAGUCCCUGUCUCUUAUAC
Molecule: ribosomal RNA, 314 nt
Filed under: uncultured bacterium
Lineage: Bacteria
Description: partial 16S ribosomal RNA
Rfam family: Bacterial small subunit ribosomal RNA
Source: RNAcentral